This 27-nucleotide small RNA is filed under the name Bombyx mori (domestic silkworm). RNAcentral's name for it is "ovarian small RNA-14171". The record is from RNAcentral. Lineage: Eukaryota; Metazoa; Arthropoda; Insecta; Lepidoptera; Bombycidae.
CGACCACCGAGUGGCCCGUAAGUCAUA